Molecule: long non-coding RNA, 152 nt
Organism: Glycine soja
Lineage: Eukaryota; Viridiplantae; Streptophyta; Magnoliopsida; Fabales; Fabaceae
Exons: 2
Source: RefSeq, a predicted model, not a curated record
AAGAGCAUCCCCGGAUGAACUAAAACAUGCAGCAAGGGAUAUGACCAGAACUCUUGUUCAGGUUCGGUGCUCUGAUAUAGCUUUAGAAGAUAUCAGUCAGCGCAUUAUGAUACUAGAUGUCAUGACAGAAGCAGCUCAGGAGCUUGCGGAAU